CCUACGGGAGGCAGCAGUGAGGAAUAUUGGUCAAUGGCCGGAAGGCUGAACCAGCCAAGCCGCGUGAAGGACGAAGGUGCCAAGCAUUGUAAACUUCUUUUGUCAAGGGACAAAAUCAGGCUCGAGAGCCUGACCGAGUGUACUUGAAGAAAAAGCAUCGGCUAACUCCGUGCCAGCAGCCGCGGUACUAGGGGGGAUGCGAGCGUUAUCCGGAUUUAUUGGGUUUAAAGGGUGCGUAGGGGGGCUGUUAAGUCAGCGGUAAAAUCCCGGGGGUCAACCCCGGCGAGCCGUUGAAACUGGCUGUCUUGAGAUGUCGAGAGGUAUGCGGAAUGCGCAGUGUAGCGGUGAAAUGCUUAGAGAUUGCGAAGAACGCCGAUUGCGAAGGCAGCAUACCGGCGGCGAUCUGACGCUGAGGCACGAAAGCGUGGGUAUCGAACAGGAUUAGAUACCCGGGUAGUC
Molecule: ribosomal RNA, 459 nt
Filed under: uncultured bacterium
Lineage: Bacteria
Description: partial 16S ribosomal RNA
Rfam family: Bacterial small subunit ribosomal RNA
Source: RNAcentral